UGGGUAAUGACCCAAACCUAUAUGGCCCCCUGGAUUGGACUGCGGCCGAUCAGGCUGUUGGUGAGGUAAUGGCCCACCAAACCUGUAACCGGUACGGGCUCUGAGAGGAGGAGCCCGGAGAUGGGCACUGAGACAAGGGCCCAGGCCCUAUGGGGCGCAGCAGGCGCGAAACCUCUGCAGUAGGCGAAAGCUUGACAGGGUUACUCUGAGUGAUUUCCGUUAAGGUGAUCUUUUGGCACCUCUAAAAAUGGUGCAGAAUAAGGGGUGGGCAAGUCUGGUGUCAGCCGCCGCGGUAAUACCAGCACCCCGAGUGGUCGGGACGUUUAUUGGGCCUAAAGCAUCCGUAGCCGGUUCUACAAGUCUUCCGUUAAAUCCACCUGCUUAACAGAUGGGCUGCGGAAGAUACUAUGGAGCUAGGAGGCGGGAGAGGCAAGCGGUACUCGAUGGGUAGGGGUAAGAUCCGUUGAUCCAUUGAAGACCACCAGUGGCGAAGGCGGCUUGCCAGAACGCGCUCGACGGUGAGGGAUGAAAGCUGGGGGAGCAAACCGGAUUAGAUACCCGGGUAGUCCCAGCUGUAAACGAUGCAGACUCGGUGAUGAGUUGGCUUCAUGCCAACUCAGUG
Molecule: ribosomal RNA, 622 nt
Filed under: uncultured archaeon
Lineage: Archaea
Description: bacterial SSU rRNA
Rfam family: Archaeal small subunit ribosomal RNA
Source: RNAcentral